GGUGCCCUGCUGAUGUGAACCCUGAGGCAGGAGUCCUGUGUGGUCUGGGGCCAGGAAGAACACAGCAGACCCAUUGCUUCAAAAUGGAGCUCACCAUUCUCUUCAGGGGUUCUCUUUUCUCAUUCUGUGAGAAUUGUCAUUUUAGCAUGCCUUGCCUCAUUUUACUCAUUAGCAAAACAGAGAGAAGACCACUCCCGUUCCUGGUUAUGGAGACUGUAGGCUACCUGUGAUUUUACAAGGGAGGAAAGUAAGUCUCAGAAGAGUCAUAUAAUGAUAGUGGUGGUGAUGAUGAUGAUGAUGAUAGUUGACACUGGUUAAACUUGUACUAUAUACGCCAGUUACUGUGCUAGAUGCCUUACGUAACAUCUCAUUUGAACCUCAUAAAAAUCAUAUGGGUAGGUGCUAUUAUUUGUAUUCUCAUGUUGCAGAUGAGGAAACUGAGACACAGAUGACUACACAGUAUUUUCUGAUUCCACUUCUAGAAAGAAGUUAAGUCAAGAUGGAAAUUCCGUCUGUCUGGGCAAAUUGCUCCUGCUCACAGCUGCUAUAAUCAUAUAGUUUGAUCAUCAUUCACCAAAAAGCUGCUUCUUUUCUUGGCUUUGUGUUUCUAUCACUGAAGAGGACUCCCAUUUAUUCUUUGAGAGUGAAGACUAUGGCUUCAUCAUUUUUCACUGUAUCCUGCACAGAGCCUUGUAUACAGUAGGUGCACAACAAAUGUUUGAUAAAUUGAGACGUUUAGACUCCAGACCCAAAUAUGCUGCUUAAAGUCUUGGAAAACUCUGCCCCAGCAUUCUCUGUCAUUGGCAAUAUGGCUUUUAGAACUAUUUUUUGAUAAUAAAAUAUAAUAAAAUAUAUCAUUUUAAUGAUUGCUAUAUAUUUUUUUUUUUAUUUUAUCUUUUGUAGAAAUGAGGUGUCACUAUAUUGCCCAGGCUGGUAUCAAACUCCUGGCCACAAACAAUCCUCC
RNAcentral lists this long non-coding RNA (964 nucleotides) under Homo sapiens (human). RNAcentral describes it as "HSALNT0071558". Lineage: Eukaryota; Metazoa; Chordata; Mammalia; Primates; Hominidae. The record is from RNAcentral.